GACGAACGCUGGCGGCGUGCCUAAUACAUGCAAGUCGAGCGAAUGGAUUAAGAGCUUGCUCUUAUGAAGUUAGCGGCGGACGGGUGAGUAACACGUGGGUAGCCUGCCCAUAAGACUGGGAUAACUCCGGGAAACCGGGGCUAAUACCGGAUAACAUUUUGUACCGCAUGGUUCGAAAUUGAAAGGCGGCUUCGGCUGUCACUUAUGGAUGGACCCGCGUCGCAUUAGCUAGUUGGUGAGGUAACGGCUCACCAAGGCAACGAUGCGUAGCCGACCUGAGAGGGUGAUCGGCCACACUGGGACUGAGACACGGCCCAGACUCCUACGGGAGGCAGCAGUAGGGAAUCUUCCGCAAUGGACGAAAGUCUGACGGAGCAACGCCGCGUGAGUGAUGAAGGCUUUCGGGUCGUAAAACUCUGUUGUUGGGGAAGAACAAGUGCUAGUUGAAUAAGCUGACACCUUGACGGUACCUAACCAGAAAGCCACGGCUAACUACGUGCCAGCAGCCGCAGUAA
This 515-nucleotide ribosomal RNA is filed under the name uncultured bacterium. Its description in RNAcentral is "partial 16S ribosomal RNA". It matches the Rfam family "Bacterial small subunit ribosomal RNA", at positions 28 to 523 of the family's 1533-position model. The record is from RNAcentral.